UUGUUUAGCGUCGUGUAUUCAGACACGACGUUUUUUUUAUGUUCUUUUUUAAUAAGAGGGAAGUGAAGUUGUAUAAAAAUGUAUUAAAUAUGCACUUUUUAUACAUUAACGAUUAAUAUA
This 120-nucleotide small RNA is filed under the name Staphylococcus aureus. It matches the Rfam family "RNA Staph. aureus F". Lineage: Bacteria; Bacillati; Bacillota; Bacilli; Caryophanales; Staphylococcaceae. The record is from RNAcentral.